GAGUUUGAUCCUGGCUCAGGAUGAACGCCGGCGGUGUGCCUAAUACAUGCAAGUCGAGCGCACUGGCCCAACUGAUAUGACGUGCUUGCACUGAAUUGACGUUGGAUUACCAGUGAGCGGCGGACGGGUGAGUAACACGUGGGCAACCUGCCCUGGAGCGGGGGAUAACAUCUGGAAACAGGUGCUAAUACCGCAUAACAACGAAAACCACAUGGUUUUCGUUUCAAAGAUGGUUUCGGCUAUCACUUCAGGAUGGGCCCGCGGUGCAUUAGCUAGUUGGUAAGGUAACGGCUUACCAAGGCAAUGAUGCAUAGCCGAGUUGAGAGACUGAUCGGCCACAAUGGAACUGAGACACGGUCCAUACUCCUACGGGAGGCAGCAGUAGGGAAUCUUCCACAAUGGGCGCAAGCCUGAUGGAGCAACACCGCGUGAGUGAAGAAGGGUUUCGGCUCGUAAAGCUCUGUUGUUAGAGAAGAACGUGCGUGAGAGCAACUGUUCACGCAGUGACGGUAUCUAACCAGAAAGUCACGGCUAACUACGUGCCAGCAGCCGCGGUAAUACGUAGGUGGCAAGCGUUAUCCGGAUUUAUUGGGCGUAAAGCGAGCGCAGGCGGUUUGAUAAGUCUGAUGUGAAAGCCUUUGGCUUAACCAAAGAAGUGCAUCGGAAACUGUCAGACUUGAGUGCAGAAGAGGACAGUGGAACUCCAUGUGUAGCGGUGAAAUGCGUAGA
Molecule: ribosomal RNA, 729 nt
Filed under: uncultured bacterium
Lineage: Bacteria
Description: bacterial SSU rRNA
Rfam family: Bacterial small subunit ribosomal RNA
Source: RNAcentral